This is a non-coding RNA of Misgurnus anguillicaudatus (oriental weatherfish), 534 nucleotides long. Lineage: Eukaryota; Metazoa; Chordata; Actinopteri; Cypriniformes; Cobitidae. The record is from RefSeq and is a predicted model, not a curated record.
AGGACAGACAUAAUUGAGUUUCUUAUUGGUUGCUCCAUUACUGAUAUUGUGCUCAAAUAACAUUAACUCACAUUAAAAUAACAGCACAACCUUUCUUUACAGAGCAAACCCAACCAACUAUCAAGUCUAACAAUCAUACACAUCUCCCAGCGAUAGAGCAAAACGGCACACAAUGGAAGACUUUCACUCUCAUAUCUUGUCUAUUAAAUGGUGUUUUGAUCAUCAUAGUCAUAGGACUAUUAAAGGUUUGUGUUUUUAAAAACGGAUGUUGGAUACGAUCUGAAAACAGCUCAGAACAACUUCGUACAACCGAUGUACAGCCGGCACAAGUUAUAGAUCAGCAUCAAGACCCAAACCAUGUACAGUAUGUGUCCGUGGACUUUUCCAAACUGCGUAAAAAGGUUCGUCCCAACCAAGACCACAGCACGUAUGCUGCUAUAAAGCUGCCAAGAUCAAGAGGAGAGGAAUAUGAGUGACCUUAUAUUUAUCUUGUACAUUUACAUCUAACUUAUUUUGGAUUUCCUUAUGUUUCAA